GCCCAGCAGCACACCAAUCUUUCUCAUGGACGCACGGACAUGCCUGCUUUCUCGGGCGUGCUAGGCGCUAUCCCUCCUGAGCCGCCACAACCACCGCCUGCUAGCGCAGCCAGCAAGCCGCUUGCCACGCGCGCGACGUCGUGUUUGGCCCCCACCGCCGUUCGGCCGCCUUCCCCGCCGCCGGUCCGCCUACUCUUCUUCGCUAGACUGCUCCCCUUCUCCAUUGAUCACUUGCUCCACUACACGCAAGACGCAACCGUGCAUGCGGCCUGCUAGUGCCUAGCUUCCUCCCCCUCUCUAUGCGCGCCACUCCAGGCGUCGAGCUCGCCUCUGCGGGACCGUAGCCCCCACCCCUCAUUGGCUCUCUGCGCGAGCGUGAUCGCGCUUCCGCAUCCCAUGUUCAAUGGAGCCCUAAAGGUUGUGCUUCUACGAAGAUCCAAAAUUCCUUGGACCAAAAGCUUCAGCUUCCAAUAGUUGUUAAGGGCCUUGUACUGCGAACUCUGGACAAAGUUUCAUGCUGCUACAAAGUGCUCUGCAUACCUCGUGAGUGUUUAAUCAAUCUCGGUGCUGAUUUGUUAGUUGUCUUUGAGAGGGAGUUGCCGAGCUUUCUCAACAAUAGCGAUCGUGGAAGGCGUCAACCAGAUUGUGGAUGUUGAAACUAUUCUAUCUACUUUUGGAUCUAAGUUAUAGGAUAUUUAAACAUUUUUAAUGUUUGAUACCUGGAUGCUUUAUGCUUUAGUUAUAUGUGGAUGCUAGAAAAAGUUGUGUACACAUGUUUUUGACAAAAUUGUACACACGAUUUGGAUUGCAUUCAAUUGAAUGAUCGUUUUAUUAA
Zea mays is the source of this 835-nucleotide long non-coding RNA. RefSeq lists it as uncharacterized. The transcript is spliced from 5 exons. The record is from RefSeq and is a predicted model, not a curated record. Lineage: Eukaryota; Viridiplantae; Streptophyta; Magnoliopsida; Poales; Poaceae.